Molecule: transfer RNA, 72 nt
Filed under: Mus musculus (house mouse)
Lineage: Eukaryota; Metazoa; Chordata; Mammalia; Rodentia; Muridae
Description: tRNA-Leu
Source: RNAcentral
GGAGAGAUGGCUGAGUGAGUAAGGUGCUUGCCUCAAAAGCAGGAAGACCUGAGUUCAAAUCCCCAGCACCCA